Molecule: ribosomal RNA, 244 nt
Filed under: uncultured Bacteroidales bacterium
Lineage: Bacteria; Pseudomonadati; Bacteroidota; Bacteroidia; Bacteroidales
Description: partial 16S ribosomal RNA
Rfam family: Bacterial small subunit ribosomal RNA
Source: RNAcentral
UACGGAGGAUCCGAGCGUUAUCCGGAUUUAUUGGGUUUAAAGGGAGCGUAGGUGGACUGGUAAGUCAGUUGUGAAAGUUUGCGGCUCAACCGUAAAAUUGCAGUUGAUACUGUCAGUCUUGAGUACAGUAGAGGUGGGCGGAAUUCGUGGUGUAGCGGUGAAAUGCUUAGAUAUCACGAAGAACUCCGAUUGCGAAGGCAGCUCACUGGACUGCAACUGACACUGAUGCUCGAAAGUGUGGGUA